GCUCAGGAUGAACGCUGGCGGCGUGCCUAAUACAUGCAAGUCGAACGAGGUGCUUUUGUAGCAAUACGAGAGUAUCCUAGUGGCGAACGGGUGAGUAACGCGUUGGUGACCUGCCCCAAAGUGCGGGAUAACAGUCCGAAAGGACUGCUAAUACCGCAUGUGGUUCUUGGAUUUAGAAACCGAGCUCUAAAGGAGCAAUCCGCUUUGGGAGGGACCUGCGUCCCAUCAGCUAGUUGGUGAGGUAAUGGCCCACCAAGGCUACGACGGGUAGGGGACCUGAGAGGGUGACCCCCCACAAUGGAACUGAAACACGGUCCAUACACCUACGGGUGGCAGCAGUAGGGAAUAUUGGGCAAUGGGCGAAAGCCUGACCCAGCAACGCCGCGUGUGUGAUGAAGGCCUUCGGGUCGUAAAGCACUUUUCUGGGAGAUGAGAAAGGACAGUAUCCCAGGAAUAAGUCUCGGCUAACUACGUGCCAGCAGCCGCGGUAAAACGUAGGAGGCGAGCGUUAUCCGGAUUCACUGGGCGUAAAGCGCGUGCAGGUGGCGCGGUAAGUUGGGCGUGAAAUCUCCCGGCUCAACUGGGAGAGGUCGUCCAAUACUACCGUGCUUGAGAGCAGAAGAGGAAGAUGGAAUUCCCGGUGUAGUGGUGAAAUGCGUAGAUAUCGGGAGGAACACCAGUGGCGAAGGCGAUCUUCUGGUCUGUUUCUGACACUCAGACGCGACAGCUAGGGUAGUAAACGGGAUUAGAGACCCCGGUAAUCCUAGCCGUAAACGAUGUGAACUUGGCGUUGGUGGGUUAAACUCCAUCAGUGCCGUAGCAAACGCGAUAAGUUCACCGCCUGGGGACUACG
Molecule: ribosomal RNA, 853 nt
Filed under: uncultured bacterium
Lineage: Bacteria
Description: bacterial SSU rRNA
Rfam family: Bacterial small subunit ribosomal RNA
Source: RNAcentral